UGAGUGCGAGCUGCUACGGCAGCGAAGUAGGUGAUGUCAAGCUUCCAAGAAAAGCCCUAUACCCGUUAAGGCAUGACUGCCUGUACCCGAAACCGACACAGGUGGGGUGGUAGAGAAUACCGAGGGGCGCGAGGUAACUCUCUCUAAGGAACUCGGCAAAAUGGCCCCGUAACUUCGGGAGAAGGGGUGCCACCGCAAGGUGGUCGCAGUGAAGAGGCCCAGGCGACUGUUUACCAAAAACACAGGUCUCCGCUAAGUCGCAAGACGAUGUAUGGGGGCUGACGCCUGCCCAGUGCCGGAAGGUUAAGGAAGCUGGUCAGCGUAAGCGAAGCUGGCGACUGAAGCCCCGGUGAACGGCGGCCGUAACAAUAACGGUCCUAAGGUAGCGAAAUUCCUUGUCGGGUAAGUUCCGACCCGCACGAAAGGCGUAACGAUCUGGGCGCUGUCUCGGAGAGAGGCUCGGCGAAAUAGAAUUGUCUGUGAAGAUGCGGACUACGUGCACCCGGACAGAAAGACCCUAUGAAGCUUUACUGUAGCUUGGUAUUGUGCCCAGGCUCGCAAUGCGCAGGAUAGGUGGGAGGCUUUGAUCAUCGGCUUGCGGGUCGAUGUGAGCCACUGGUGAGAUACCACUCUUUGCGAGCUAGGGUUCUAACAGCCACCCGUGAUCCGGGGGCUGGACAGUAUCAGGUGGGCAGUCUGACUGGGGCGGUCGCCUCCUAAAAGGUAACGGAGGCGCGCAAAGGUUCCCUCAGGCUGGUUGGAAAUCAGCCGACGAGUGUAAAGGCAGAAGGGAGCUUGACUGUGAGACCUACAAGUCGAACAGGGACGAAAGUCGGCCUUAGUGAUCCGACGGUUCUGAGUGGAAGGGCCGUCGCUCAACGGAUAAAAGUUACUCUAAGGAUAACAGGCUGAUCUCCCCCAAGAGUUCACAUCGACGGGGAGGUUUGGCACCUCGAUGUCGGCUCAUCGCAACCUGGGGCUGAAGUCGGUCCCAAGGGUUGGGCUGUUCGCCCAUUAAAGCGGUACGCGAGCUGGGUUCAGAACGUCGUGAGACAGUUCGGUCCAUAUCCGGUGCAUGCGCAGGAAUAUUGAGAGGAGUUCUCCCUAGUACGAGAGGACCGGGAGGAACGCACCUCUGGUGUACCAGUUAUCGUGCCAACGGUAAACGCUGGGUAGCCAUGUGCGGAGAGGAUAACCGCUGAAAGCAUCUAAGUGGGAAGCCCACCUCAAGAUGAGUAUUCCCAUGGCAUAAGCCAGUAAGGUCACGGGAAGAACACCCGUUGAUAGGCUCUACGUGGAAGCGCAGUAAUGCGUGAAGCGGAGGAGUACUAAUAGACCGAGGGCUUGAC
Molecule: ribosomal RNA, 1349 nt
Filed under: metagenome
Description: bacterial LSU rRNA
Rfam family: Bacterial large subunit ribosomal RNA
Source: RNAcentral